RNAcentral lists this ribosomal RNA (121 nucleotides) under Diaphorina citri (Asian citrus psyllid). Lineage: Eukaryota; Metazoa; Arthropoda; Insecta; Hemiptera; Psyllidae. The record is from RNAcentral.
GCCAGCAGUGAUGGCAUGUUGAAUGCACAUGCUCCCCAUAUACAUAUCACUGAAUUAAGCAACGUUGAGCGUGGUUAGUACCCGGUUGGAUGACCAUCUGGGUAAUCGCGUGCUUCUGACU